CUUCGAUCUGCCGGCUUGGUUCUCUGACGAGCUCCUCUUCCACUAUAACCCUCUUAUCCAACCCAAGCUCCUCCAUUCUCCUCCCUCCUUUCCUCCCAUCUCAUCAGCCCACUCCUUUUUCGCUGCGUGCUUCAAGCGUUGGAGGAACAGAUGCAGAGCCCAGCCACCGUCUCUGGAAACGGCGAGCCCAGGCGACACCGGUGAUGCGACCGGCUCCGCGGGCUGCUACAACUGACUUCGCGUGGUGCUACAACCAGCACGCGGGGAGCUGGAACCGGCUGCUCCAGAGCUGCGACGGCACGCCGCCGUUUGCUGGAACCGACACUGCGGGGAGCUACAACCAGCUUAUCAAUAGCUGCAACCAGCAGUCUGCGGUGCUACAACCAACAGAGGCGGUGGGGAAGAGAGGUCCACGACGAUGGCGAGCUGCGUGCUAUGUUGGGGGGCGAGAGUUGCUGGAACCGGCGUUUGGCUGAGCUACAUCCGGCAGGGGUGGUGUAGGAGCGACGGCGAGAUGAGGAAGGCAUCUGGCGAUGGAGAAGUCAAGUUGUGGAGAGAGGUGGCGGUGAUCCGGCGAGCGAGCGGAGAUUCGGCGGGUCAUGUCCCCCGUCCAUGGCGCUCGCGCCCCUGUGCGUGCUCCCGUGAUUUGUAGGGGGAAGAAAAGUAAACGGCAUGGUGGGACGAAAGGGUCCUGUAUCUAACGGCUAAAAGCGGUUUCAUCCGAUGUCCCGGGUCCGACCGGCCCAAAUUUGGGCCGGCGGACCGACGCCUAAUAGUGCCCAUUCAACUUUGGGUGUUCAAUUUUUUUUCA
Molecule: non-coding RNA, 811 nt
Organism: Triticum urartu
Lineage: Eukaryota; Viridiplantae; Streptophyta; Magnoliopsida; Poales; Poaceae
Source: RefSeq, a predicted model, not a curated record